GCAAUCUAAGUCUUCUGAACUUAUUCAAAUUGUGUAUCUUCACCACAAAUAAUCUUUUCUUCAUACCUUAGGUGUCGAUCUUUCCGAAUGUGCCUUCAUCCUCCAAUUUGAAUCUUUUCUCAAAAACUUCUGCGAUCAACUCUUCAAGACUCCAAACAACUUCACGAAAUUCGCCAACCUAUAAAAUCCUUAACAACAAGCAUGUGCGAAUGAGCACAAAUG
RNAcentral lists this long non-coding RNA (222 nucleotides) under Ananas comosus (pineapple). Its description in RNAcentral is "long non-coding RNA (ACOM_LNC037394)". The record is from RNAcentral. Lineage: Eukaryota; Viridiplantae; Streptophyta; Magnoliopsida; Poales; Bromeliaceae.